Xyrichtys novacula (pearly razorfish) is the source of this 875-nucleotide non-coding RNA. The record is from the annotation of a GenBank genome assembly. NCBI's taxonomy places the organism in Eukaryota, Metazoa, Chordata, Actinopteri, Labriformes, Labridae.
GCUUUACGAAGAGGUGUGGAAACGUCAUGAAGCAUCGACAAUGUUCUAGAUGGGGCGCACUCGCGCAUGCGCUGCUGUGUCAUGAGUAUUGUGUUUUGCAAUUUUCUCACAUCGUUAAGCAAUGAACAUCUUCAUGUAAGUUUACAUUUGUAUUACAAAAUAAACACAUUUUAACAUGGUACAUUUAGAUUAGUUUUAAAUAAACACGUUCAUAUUUAGCUCUGUUUGUAGGUGGAAACACACCUGAAUAUUAUUAUGAGAGCAGCUCUGUGAGGUUUAACCAGCUCAGUUUGAAGCUCAUUUUAUAUUUCAAAAAACAGAUAUUUAAAUUUUAAAAUUGAACAUUUUUAAUGUCUCAGAUUAGGGGAUAAAUGUGGUCAUAACAGUUUCAAAAACAAAGAGAUCAACACCAGAUCACCUCAAAUUUUACCAUCAGUGAAAAGUUUUCCCUAAAAAAAGUGCGAUUUUUGGAAUGUUGGGCUCUGAAAUAGAGACUUCUGGAAUGUUGGGCCCUGGUGACCUAAAUUCUCGGGGUUGCUGGUAUCCAGAAUGUUGGGUUCUGGAAUACUGAGUUCUGGACCGUUGGACUCUAUGAUGCUUGGCUGUGCAGCGCUUGGUUCAGAGAACCUGGCUGUAGAAUAAUUUAUUUUAGAAUACUCGUCUUCCAGAACUCUGGUUUCUGUAAUGCUGUGUUCUAGAAUGUUCUAGGGUUUUUGUGGUUUUAGUUGAUGGUGUUCUGUGUUAAGAGUGCCAGGUUCUAGAAUACAUGGUUCUGGAGGGUUGGAUUCCCGAGUGCUAAAUGCUUAAGUUCUGGGUUCUGGAAUGCCAGAAUGAAAAAAGGAAAAAAUGAAUGGAAAAAAUGGAAAAAGAAAAAA